UGUGCAAGUGUGCAGGUUCCUUUGUA
RNAcentral lists this non-coding RNA (26 nucleotides) under Homo sapiens (human). Lineage: Eukaryota; Metazoa; Chordata; Mammalia; Primates; Hominidae. The record is from RNAcentral.